UUAUUAUGGUAUCGGUUUUGGCAAGUCCUAAAAUGGGUUCUCUAUAUACAUUGCUAAAAUAACUUUGCUUUUAUUUCUGCUAUUAACAAAAACUUGGACAUAGUAGUGGUGGUAGCUGAUCUAGUUAGGAGUGAACUGUCUGUUUGGUCGGGAUAACAUCCAGUGAACAUGGCAUGAGCACCCUGCUGUUGAUAUGCCAACUAUCAGCAUCUGCCAUCUGAAGAAAGUGUGGACCAAGGCCCAGACUGGAAGUGAUCAAGAGAGGGAACCAAAACCACAGCCAAAAAACCCUCCUGCUCUGUCCUAGGGUGAUGUUAGGAUGCUUGUAUCCCCAUUUGUGUGUGCUGUUUAUGCUGGAUAUUAUGUUCGGUGCCUUCAAGACUGGCUUUGAAGAGUGAAUGUUUUAUUUUGAUUUCUUAUCAGCCGCUCCCCCAUGGCUGGCAGGACACAGACGGGCAGUACACAGUGCUGCUUUUGCUUUUUGCUUUGCUCUCGCUCUUGCUUCUGCUUUGCUUCUGCUUUGCUCUUGCUUUGCUCUUGCUUUUUCCUUCUAGUCAUUAGCUAGUUUAGCAAAGCAGUUUGAAUUUUUUCCCUGGACUGUUUCUCCUUUCUCUUUUUUGGACCUACUCGAGUCUGCUCUGGACUGGGACCUGGGAAACACCGAGAGUUUGCACCUGGAGGCUGCAGCAGCUGCCCCAGCACCAGAGGGACUGAUAACAGAGCGACCACCCCAGGACAGACUUUCUGAAUUUGUCAUCUUUUUCAGAGCAGUGAAAGAGUGGUGUCACCUGGUAUUGUUCAUUUUGUGUGCUGGGGGUGCUGUGCCUGUUAAAUAAACAGGUUCUUUCCACUUCUCUCCGAGGAAUUCUUCCCAAACCAGUUGGGGGGAGGGCCUGUGUGGGUUUGCUUUCUGGAGGGGCCCCCGCUUUUGGGGAUUCUCUCCCAAAUUUGCCCUAAACCAGGACAGAAUGGUGUAGACGGUGUUAGAAUAAGGGGUGGAUUAUGUCCUAGGUUCCAAUAUAAAAAUGUGUUCUAUUCCCACCUCAAGAGCUGUUGAAAACAGGAGGGGCACUGUCGCUAUAGGACAGGAAAUAACACAACGCGGACACACAGCUCUCCAAGUUAAUGGACCCAUCAAUGCCUUGCCCCAUGACUCAGAGGUAACCCCCUCCAGGAGCCAUUUCUGUUUAAUGGGCACUCAAGGACCAAUCAUGACUCAGAACGAUAUCAGCCCAUUGGAAGAUGCUCCGCCCAGGGGGAGGAGCUCAGCAUCCCCACCUGGAUAUCAUCUGGGCUGUGGGACAGAACAGGCAGCCCUUACCCACUGGUUUCCAGAGGACAAGAGCUACCAGAUCCUUUCUACGGGAUCACCACUUCAACAAGACCAUUUCAUCUGGACUGCUGCCACCAGCCUAACUAGCAGGGUGUCAGGCUGUGUUCUGACUCUUUCAGUGUUCUUAUUUUGUAUUAUUGCAAGUAUUUGGAGUUUUUUUGCCCUUUUCCUAAUAAAUUGUAUUUCUGA
Long non-coding RNA from Serinus canaria (Common canary), 1522 nucleotides. RefSeq lists it as uncharacterized. The record is from RefSeq and is a predicted model, not a curated record. Lineage: Eukaryota; Metazoa; Chordata; Aves; Passeriformes; Fringillidae. The transcript is spliced from 2 exons.